GCUUAGCCCAGAUUGAAGUGGAAAUCCUUUUAUUUCGUCAGUUCGAGUUCGCUUGCAAAGCGAGUAUCGAGAACAAGAAAUAAAAGAUUGUAACGGAAAGCUGGAUUGGCU
RNAcentral lists this small RNA (111 nucleotides) under Flavobacterium dankookense. RNAcentral's name for it is "Flavobacterium sp. ARSA-19 Flavo-1 RNA". It matches the Rfam family "Flavo-1 RNA". The record is from Rfam by way of RNAcentral. Lineage: Bacteria; Pseudomonadati; Bacteroidota; Flavobacteriia; Flavobacteriales; Flavobacteriaceae.